This 539-nucleotide ribosomal RNA is filed under the name uncultured bacterium. RNAcentral describes it as "bacterial SSU rRNA". It matches the Rfam family "Bacterial small subunit ribosomal RNA", at positions 394 to 921 of the family's 1533-position model. The record is from RNAcentral.
CCCCUACGACUGUGAAGAAGGUCUUCGGACCGUAAAAGCUCUGUUGCUCAUGACGGAAGGGCAGUAAGUUAAUACCUUGCUGUUUUGACGUUACCGACAGAAUAAGCACCGGCUAACUUCGUGCCAGCAGCCGCGGUAAUACGAAGGGUGCAAGCGUUAAUCGGAAUUACUGGGCGUAAAGCGAGCGCAGGUGGUUUAUUAAGUCUGGUGUAAAAGGCAGUGGCUCAACCAUUGUAUGCAUUGGAAACUGGUAGACUUGAGUGCAGGAGAGGAGAGUGGAAUUCCAUGUGUAGCGGUGAAAUGCGUAGAUAUAUGGAGGAACACCGGUGGCGAAAGCGGCUCUCUGGCCUGUAACUGACACUGAGGCUCGAAAGCGUGGGGAGCAAACAGGAUUAGAUACCCUGGUAGUCCACGCCGUAAACGAUGAGUGCUAGAUGUAGGGAGCUAUAAGUUCUCUGUAUCGCAGCUAACGCAAUAAGCACUCCGCCGUGGGGAGUACCGACCGCAAGGUUGAAACUCAAAAGGAAUUGACGGGGGCC